CCCAAGAGGAGCAUUCUGUGCUUAAACACGGCUGAGAGCACAGCGUGCCAGGUCCUCCCCGCAGAAGCGUGGGCUUAGGGCGUCUGUGCAGGGACCUGCGUGGGGAGGACGGAGCCGGCGAGAUGCUCACGGCCCGGGUUGAAGUCCAUCUUCCGACCUCGUGUUAGAUCUCACAGAUGCCUGCCAUUGGCCAUCAGAAUUACACACAAAGCAUCAGGACUGGGAAAAUAAAUCAAGUCUUGUCACACUCGAGGUGAGUCAGUCUCAUUAUCUUCACAUUCUGU
Molecule: long non-coding RNA, 284 nt
Filed under: Heterocephalus glaber (naked mole-rat)
Lineage: Eukaryota; Metazoa; Chordata; Mammalia; Rodentia; Bathyergidae
Description: lncRNA (ENSHGLG00100037153.1)
Source: RNAcentral